This 85-nucleotide transfer RNA is filed under the name Clostridiales bacterium. RNAcentral describes it as "tRNA-Leu". The record is from RNAcentral. RNAcentral also lists the same sequence under 1 other name. Lineage: Bacteria; Bacillati; Bacillota; Clostridia; Eubacteriales.
GCGAGAGUGCUGGAAUAGGUAGACAGGCACGUUUGAGGGGCGUGUGUCAUAUGGCGUGGGAGUUCAAGUCUCCUCUCUCGCACCA